Long non-coding RNA from Etheostoma spectabile (orangethroat darter), 329 nucleotides. RefSeq lists it as uncharacterized. The record is from RefSeq and is a predicted model, not a curated record. The transcript is spliced from 3 exons. Lineage: Eukaryota; Metazoa; Chordata; Actinopteri; Perciformes; Percidae.
UUUUGUUCAUUUUGUUAAUUAAUUCCAGUCCAAAAUAAUCCACAACUCCACUGCCUUUAAACACAGACAAACGACCUAACAAGAUGCACCUAAAGGCAACAUUAAUGGUGGCGGAACGUUGAUUCUGGCGACAUCAUGUGGUCAAACGACGGUAAUGGCCGCCCAACCCCUUGGGGUAAUAUCAUAGGCUGUGAGAAGCAGCAGUUGUCCAGUGCUACGCAGUGCCACCACUAAAGACUCAGGAACAUUUGCAGUAACACAGCAGGUGAAAGAGAUUGGGAUUGAAUCUGGAAAGAGGAAGACCGCACCCAGCGCCACAAGGGUGCAAA